This 440-nucleotide ribosomal RNA is filed under the name uncultured bacterium. RNAcentral's name for it is "partial 16S ribosomal RNA". It matches the Rfam family "Bacterial small subunit ribosomal RNA", at positions 338 to 795 of the family's 1533-position model. The record is from RNAcentral.
CCUACGGGUGGCAGCAGUAGGGAAUAUUGCUCAAUGGGGGAAACCCUGAAGCAGCAACGCCGCGUGGAGGAUGACGGUUUUAGGAUUGUAAACUCCUUUUGUUAGAGAAGAUUAUGACGGUAUCUAACGAAUAAGCACCGGCUAACUCCGUGCCAGCAGCCGCGGUAAUACGGAGGGCGCAAGCGAUACUCGGAAUCACUGGGCGUAAAGGGUGCGUAGGUGGGGUAAUAAGGUAGGUGUGAAAUCCUGUAGCUUAACUACAGAACUGCAGUUGAAACUGUUACUCUGGAGUGUGCGAGAGGUAGGUGGAAUGCUUGGUGUAGGGGUAAAAUGCGUAGAGAUCAAGAAGAAUACUGAUUGCGAAGGCAGCCUGCUGGAGCCUUACUGACGCUGAUGCACGAAAGCGUGGGGAGCGAACAGGAUUAGAUACCCGUGUAGUC